UACGUAGGGGGCGAGCGUUGUCCGGAUUCAUUGGGCGUAAAGCGCGCGUAGGCGGCAGGGCAGGUCGGCCGUGAAAUCUCCCAGCUUAACUGGGAGGGGUCGGGCGAGACUGCCCCGCUAGAGGCGGGUAGAGGGCAGUGGAAUUCCGGGUGUAGUGGUGGAAUGCGUAGAGAUCCGGAGGAACACCAGUGGCGAAGGCGGCUGCCUGGGCCUGGCCUGACGCUGAGGCGCGAAAGCGUGGGGAGCGAACGGG
RNAcentral lists this ribosomal RNA (253 nucleotides) under uncultured bacterium. RNAcentral's name for it is "partial 16S ribosomal RNA". It matches the Rfam family "Bacterial small subunit ribosomal RNA", at positions 524 to 776 of the family's 1533-position model. The record is from RNAcentral.